This 862-nucleotide ribosomal RNA is filed under the name Neofusicoccum ursorum. RNAcentral describes it as "LSU rRNA". It matches the Rfam family "Eukaryotic large subunit ribosomal RNA", at positions 87 to 967 of the family's 3401-position model. The record is from RNAcentral. Lineage: Eukaryota; Fungi; Ascomycota; Dothideomycetes; Botryosphaeriales; Botryosphaeriaceae.
CGGCRAGUGMMGCGGCRAUAGCUCAAAUUUGAAAGCUGGCCCCUUCGGGGUCCGCGUUGUAAUUUGUAGAGGAUGAUUCGGCGAGGGCUCCCGUCUAAGUCCCUUGGAACAGGGCGUCAUAGAGGGUGAGAAUCCCGUAUGUGAUGGGCUGCCUUAGCCAUGUGAAUCUCCUUCGACGAGUCGAGUUGUUUGGGAAUGCAGCUCUAAAUGGGAGGUAAAUUUCUUCUAAAGCUAAAUACCGGCCAGAGACCGAUAGCGCACAAGUAGAGUGAUCGAAAGAUGAAAAGCACUUUGGAAAGAGAGUUAAAAAGUACGUGAAAUUGUUGAAAGGGAAGCGCUUGCAGCCAGACUUGUCCGCAGUUGCUCAGCCUGUCUCCUGACAGGCGUACUCUUCUGCGGCCAGGCCAGCAUCAGUUCGGGCGGUCGGAUAAAGACCCGGGGAAUGUAGCUCCUCUCGGGGAGUGUUAUAGCCCUGGGUGCAAUGCGGCCAGCCUGGACUGAGGAUCUCGCUUCGGCUAGGAUGCUGGCGUAAUGGCUGUAAGCGGCCCGUCUUGAAACACGGACCAAGGAGUCUAACAUCUAUGCGAGUGUUUGGGUGUCAAACCCAUGCGCGUAAUGAAAGUGAACGGAGGUGGGAACCCUCACGGGUGCACCAUCGACCGAUCCUGAUGUCUUCGGAUGGAUUUGAGUAAGAGCAUAGCUGUUGGGACCCGAAAGAUGGUGAACUAUGCCUGAAUAGGGUGAAGCCAGAGGAAACUCUGGUGGAGGCUCGCAGCGGUUCUGACGUGCAAAUCGAUCGUCAAAUUUGGGUAUAGGGGCGAAAGACUAAUCGAACCAUCUAGUAGCUGGUUCCUGCCGAAGU